This 8088-nucleotide long non-coding RNA is filed under the name Solanum tuberosum (potato). RNAcentral's name for it is "long non-coding RNA (STUB_LNC002118)". Lineage: Eukaryota; Viridiplantae; Streptophyta; Magnoliopsida; Solanales; Solanaceae. The record is from RNAcentral.
AAGCUGCAGAUCAUGAAAGACAAAAUAUCAAUGAAAAUGAUCAAUUCAAUAACUGGAAAUGCCUAUUGUCCUAGUAUAUUCACCAGUAUUAUCUGAUCACUGUUAAUAAUACAGGUGCAACUCAAUAAAAUUAAAAAUUAGUGACCUAAAGUCAAAUUAUAUAGAUACGUGUUAAUCUACUGAUAUAACUCAAUAAAAUUAGUGGCCUAAAGUCAAAUUAUAUAGAUACAUGAAAAUAGUUACCAGAUCUUCUCAAAAUAUUUUUGUUCUGAAAUUAACAGAGAUCAACAGUUUCUUACCUUGUCAUCCACAAAUUUUGCCCAAAAACGUGCCAUGGCUUUCUCAUAAGGAUCCUGAGGUAGCAAAGGAGCUGUUUCGUUCCAUGUCUCAUCGAUAUACUCGAGAAUCACGAGUGAUUCACAGAUUGGUUUGCCUUUGUGUACAAGUACAGGAAUCUUUUUGUGAACAGGAUUAUACUGGAGGAGUUCAGAGCUCUUCUGGGUUAAAUCUUCAAAUAUGGCUUCGUAUUCAAUCCCUUUGAUAUGCAGCGCCCAAACGAUCCUCAAACCAAAUGGACUUGACCAUGUCCUGUAAAGCUUCACUUCAUCUGCCAUGUUUGUUUUAAUUUGCAAUUGAUAUCUGCAAGCUAAUGUUUAUUUAUACACUCACAAUUUUAUUUAUAUUUUAAGCUAAAGAUGAUUUGGACUAAUUACCUUAUCACAACAGUAUGUGUGGAUAUGACAAGUCCAAUGACUUGUUUCACUUCGUCUUUUCUAUUGUAUUCCAAAACUUUGUGCUUUAGUGUAAGAAUUUUAGGAAGAAAUGUGUAGGGAAUUUUGAUUGAUUUUUGUGAGAUGAAUUUACAAAUGGAUGUUCAUCUAUUUAUAUUACUAAUUUAGGGAUAAAAGUGUAAAUAAUUAUUAUUAUUUAAAUUCCUAUAUAUUUACAAAAUAGUCAUAUUACUAGAAUUCUCUACGUGUCUAGAAUUUUCUAAGGACUUUUCAGGUAAAAAAUCUAUGAUAUUCUAGUUUCUACAUGAGAUUCUCACAUUUCUCUAGAACUUUCUACUAUGGACUAGUCUUCUUCCAAUAUAAUCUCUCGCAACUUUGUGUCAUGUGAAACUUACGUGGUGCUUAUGUGGCAUGAUGACGUGACAAGUCGUCAUAUUUAUUCCUAAAAAAUUCUCAAGCAUAUUAAUAAUUAGGGAUAAUUGCACUUUUGACCCUUCAAUUAAUCGCAAAAUUUUAUUUUGGUCCUUAUAUUAUAUGUUAUAUGAUUUAAUAUAUUUAACUUCUUAAAAAAAUAUAAAAUGUACGUUUUAGCCCUUUUAUAAAGAAAAAUAUUAUAUUUGGAUUCAUUUUAGAAGUACAUCAUAAGCUUUAACAUAACUUCUUACGAAUUAAAUGAUGGAAUAAUUAACAAUUUUGUGAAUAUUAACAAGAGAAAGCUAAGUGGUUAUCUGCAGAAUGGAAGAUUGCAAGAUGCUCUGCACCUGUUUCAUAUGAUGCCAUGGAGGAAUGCAGUAUCAUGGAAUUCGAAAAAGGUGUAGCAAAGUUGCCUAUGGGUAUGGAGAGUUGUUACUUUAGCAAUCAUGUAUGUCGUCUGGUAUUUUUCAUGAUACAUAGUCCAGAAAGCAUAUCCAAAAGUACUUGAUCAUACAAACAUCAGUUUAUUGUUAUUUCCAUAACCUAUAAGACACAUACUGCAACAAUUUUCACCAUUUAAUUUGAUGUCGUCUGGUAUUUUUCAUGGAGCAGUUGGUAUUUGGUUACUAGUCUGUCUCGUGGUGGCAAGUGUUGUUUGAUUGCCGGAGCAUCACAAAAGUUUUUCAUCCAUCCUGACAAGAGAGGAAAUUUGUGUGCAUCAAACAACUUCAGAUCGAUUACCUCCUCAAACACAUCAAGAAGAAACGCCAUCCAACCAAGUACAAGAUCCACAUAUCCUAUACUUUCUCCACCAAAAAAUUUCUUCCCUUUCAAUUGCUCUUCAAUGAGUUCUAGAUUUUGCACUGCUGGAACAAGAGCUUCCUUUUUCGCCUCAUAUCCUUUUUCUGUGAAAACACUCGUUACUGAUGGCAGAAGCUGCAGAUCAUGAAAGACAAAUAUCAACGAAAAUAUUGAUCAAUUCAGUAACUGAAAAUGCCUAUUGUCCGACUGAUCACUUUGCUCAAAUGUUAAUAUACAGGUGCAACUCAAUAAAAUUAGUGGUCUAAAGUCAAAUUAUAUAGAUACAUAUGUUAAUGUACUCAAUAAAAUUAGUGGUCUAAAGCCAAAUUAUAUAGAUACAUGAAAAUAGUUACUUGUUCUGAAAUUAACAGAGAUCAAUGGUAUCGAUCUUACCUUGUCAUCCACAAAUUUUGCCCAAAAACGUGCCAUGGCUUUCUCAUAAGGAUCCUGAGGUAGCAAAGGAGUUGUUUCCUUCUUCCAUGUCUCAUCGAUAUACUCAAGAAUUACGAGUGAUUCACAGAUUGGUUUGCCUUGGUGUACAAGUACAGGAACUUUUUUAUGAACAGGAUUAUACUGGAGGAGUUGAGGGCUCUUAUGGCUUAAAUCUUCAAAGAUGGCUUCGUAUUCAAUCCCUUUGAUAUGUAGUGCCCAAACGAUUCUCAAACUAAAUCGGCUUGACCAUGUCCUGUAAAGCUUCACUUCAUCUGCCAUGUUUGUUUUAAUUUGCAACUCAUAUCUGCAAGCUAAUGUUUAUUUAUACACUCACAAAACUGUAUAUUUUACUCUUUAAAUUAAUAAAAAUUACAUAAAUCAUACUGUGUUAAGAGCUACUUAUAUCUUAUUUUUAAUCUUUUCCGAACUACAGAAAUCUCUAAAAUUUAUAGGAUCUCGUAUACAUUAGAAAACCUACGGAUACAUAGAGGAAAUUAUCCAAGAAGGGAUAAGGAUGUAUCGAGAGGAGAUUUUUGUAAUUUCUUUUAAAUAGUAGGAAAUUUUAGAAAUUAUAAUAAAAGUUUAGCUAUUGAACUUAAGCUUAGCAGGACACAUUUUUUAAAAAUUAAAAUCAUGUUCAUGUGACUUAUAUGAGAGAUUAUAAUAUGAAAAUAUAAAUUUACUAUUGCAAAAAAUUAUUUGUCGUAAAGAAAUAUAAGUUAGUUAAUGAUCCACACAAAAUAGGGGCAAAAGUCCAAAUGACCACUCACGUUGCUCUUUACUUUGACAGAGGGGAUGUAUAAUACACAAGAGCGGAGCUAGGUGGGGUUCGUGAGUUUGGACGAACUUAGUAAUUUUUUUGUGGAUUUUAUAUUUGUACUAGAAAAUUAAAUAAAUAUAUAUGUAUAUUAACUUAUGAAUCCAUAUUAAAAUUGAUUGAUGGCUCAGUUGCAAGGAAAGGGCCAUGAAAAUGCUUUCUACGCUAGAGUUAUGGAUUCAAACCCUACUAUUAAUGAAAUAUUUCUCAAAUUUAGAACCCAAAACUUCUAAUCAUGACUCUAUCUUAAUAGACUAAUGUUUAUGUCUACGUCUAAAAUUCAAAUCUUUGGUAUUUUCUUCCUCAAAUAUUUUAAAAUUCAAGCCAAACUCUGAUGUCAGCCAUUGCGUUACAAAGCCUGGAAAUUAUAAUUUCUUACAUUUUAAGCUAAAGUUGAUUUGUAGUUUGGACUAAUUACCUUUAUGACAACAGUGUGUGUGGAAAUGAGAAGUCCAAUGAAUUGUUUCACUUCGUCUUUUCUAUUGACUUGGUCUUUGCUCUUGUUUUCAUCUGGUAAUUCCAAAACUUUGUGCUCACAUCUAUUUAUAUACUAACUUAGGAGUUAAAAUUGGAAAAAAUGGUCAAAAACCCCCCCUAAUCUAUAGCCGGAUUCCCAACUACACACUCAUACUUUACGGGGGUCCUAUUACCCCCCUGAACAUUUUUUUUUACUAAUUUUCUCACCCUUAUUUGCUGACGUGUCCACAUAAAUCAGAUAUAAUUAAAUGUUUGUUUACACGCGCUGCCACAUAAUGACUGGACCCCAGAACCCACGAAUUUCCUUUAAUCUUUUCAUUUUCCUCUUUCUUUCUCUAAACCCUAACCUUUUUUCAAUCUGACCAAAUUCACCCCAUUCUCUUCGAUCUGAGAUUUCGUUCCAAUCGAAGUUUGCUGGGAAGGUUGGGGAAGGUUCGUUUAGCUUUUUUCGUUUGUUGGGUCGAAGUUUUCUCUAAGUAAAGGUUAGUUCUUUUAGUUCUUUACUAGCGAUUUUGAACGAUAUUGAUUAUUGUGUUUGAUUAGGGUUAUGAAAUUGACAAAAAAAUGAAGAGCAAUAACUGGGUUUUGGUAUAAUAGCAUUCCAUUGAAGAAAUUUUUUGAACCAUAACUAUGAAAUCAGAGAAAUUACAAGUCCUAAAGCUUCAAGCUUUUUCGAAAUUGAAACUACAGUUGAAUGCUUUGACAAGUAAAUUCAAGUUUUAAGCUGAUUUGGGAGAGAAUGAAGGAAUAUACCGUUGGAGAUUUGUCAACUAUUAGAAGAAUUGAGAAAAAAAGGAAGAAAAAGAGAGUUUGAUUUUGGGAGAGAUGAGAUUAUACCAUUGGAGAUUUAAUAUAGCUGAUUUGGACUCACAUGUGUAGUUUUCUUCAGCUUUUAACGUUUUAUUUUCUGUUCUUACGCGCCUAAGGGAGUUGAUCUCACCUUCUUGGACAUGUCAGCAAAUAAGGGUGAGAAAAUUAGUAAAAAAAAAUGUUCAGGGGGGUAAUAGGACCCCCAUAAAGUAUGAAUGUGUAAUUGGGAAUCCGGCUAUAGGUUGAAGGGGCUUUUGGUCAUUUUCUCGUUAAAAUAGAAAUAAUAAUUAUAAUAUAAGUUUUACAUAUAUACAAAGUAGUCAUUUUCUUAGAACUCUCUAAGUAACCUGAGAAAUUUCCACAUUCUCUAGAAUUUUCUACUAUGGACUAGCCUUUUCUUAUAAAAAAAAAACUCAAAUAUUAUGUGGCAUGAUGACAUAGCGGAUCCUCAUAUUUAUUCCUAAAAAAUUCUCAAGCAUAUUCACGAUUAGGGAUAAUAGCACUUUUGACCCUUUAAUUAAAUUAAUGGUAAAAUUUUAUUUUGAUCCUUAUAUUAUAUUAUAUCCGUUCACUUUACUUGUCCCUUAUUUCAAAAAUAUAUUUUUCAUUUUUACUUGUCUCUUUUAAUAUAUUAAGAAAAGACAAUAAUUUUUUUUUCAUGUUUUACCCAUAACAUUAAAUACUUAUUUCCCAAAUCAUUUUUUAAGACAUCAUUUAAUAGGGAAUAAUUUGAUAAAAUACUUAGGAGUCGUUUGAUAGAGUGUAUUAGGAAAUAUAAUGCAUGCAUUAGGUGUGUGUAUUAGUAGUACCUUGUUUGGUACACUUUUUCUUGCCAUGUAUACAUUCCAUUGUGUAUUAAGUUGUGUAUUACUAAUACCAAGUAAUUCUAGGUAUUAGUAAUACAUAGCAUUUAACACUUGCAUUAAGAUUAAAUAAUUACAAAACUACCCUCAUAGCCUUUUUAAAACAUUUCCUAACAUUUUCUCUUCUUUUCAUUUUCUUUCUUGUCAUAUGUGUUUAUUUUUAUUUGUUUUUCAAUGUCUUUUAAUUUGUUGAUGUCUUAAUGGACUUUAUGGCCUCUUAAAUAUCUUUUUUUUUUUAAUAAUCUAAUUUCAACAUACUUUAAUAAAAAAAAUUACUAUUGUGGCGAUAAAUUUGAUAAAAAAAAUUCUUUGCCAAACUUUUCACAAAAAUAUUUUGACUCAAAUAGUACAACUAUUUAAUAUUAUUUUUGAAAAGAAGAAGAGGAGUUAAUGAUGUUUCAGCAAAGAACUUUGUUGCAAAGAAGUGUAAAAAUAAAUAAAGUGUGAAGGAUAUUUUUGUAAACAUAUAUUUUUAAAUAGAAAUUAUGCAAGAUUUGUUAUUUCUAAUACAUCAAAUCAAACAGUGUAUAAAAAUAAUGCUUGCAUAACUAAUGCAAGCAUUAAUAAUACAAGCACUACUAAUGCAAGCAUUAUUAAUGCAUCCUAUUUUGCAUUAUUCUUAUACACUCUACCAAACGAUCCCUUUUAUAUCAUUAAUUAUUUCUCAAUUGAUAUGUCAAGUCAAACUGUGACAAAUAAAAGUGAAUAGAGAAAGUAUAAUUUAAUAUAUUUAACUUUCUUAAAAAAAUAUAAAUGUACGUAUUAGUCCUUUUAUAAAGAAAAAUAUAUAUUUUUGGAUUCAUUUUAGAAGUAUACAUCAUAAGCUUAUUACCAUAACUUCUUACUAAUUAAAUUAUAGGAAUAAUUAACAAUUUUGUGAAUAUUCAGGAUAAAAAAUGUAAAUUUCAUUUAAUCGAAGGUUAUUAAAUAAAUAUAGUACAAUAUCGCAAGAAUUAAUACAUAUACGAUGUCAUAUAUGAUGUGAAUUGUCAUGUUAAACACACGUGUGUAUACUCAUCCAAAUUAUUACUCUUUCCUUUUUUCUUUCCCUGGUUGAAAUCAACAUUUACUUAUUAAGUAGUAGUAUUAUAUUUAUGUAUAGAAGGCUCAAAUGGGCUUCACAUAUUUUCUUUAGGAACACAAAUUGUACAAUUGGAACUCAAAAAUUACUAGAUCUUUCAAGAAAGGUGAUAUUGAAGGGGCACGCAAGCUGUUUGAUUUCUGGGUAUGUAAGAAAUGGGAUGAUAUAGCUAGUGCUCGAGAGUUGUUUGAGCAUAUGCCUUGAAAAGAUGAAACCUCAUGAAACGGUAUCAUUUCCAGAUAUCAAAACGAUUUUAUAUGUCUAGAUGUUGCAAAAUAAUUACAAGCAAUGUGGUCUCAUUAUGUGGACUUCUUGCUUUGUAUGGUUGGGGAAGAGCUUUGCAUGCCAGUGUAACUAAGAGUCGCUUUGAAAAUGCUACGAGGAGUAUUAUUUUCUAAAUUAUAAAGAGAUACAAGGAAAUGUUGCAUUCAUUAUUGGUAUAAAAUUGCAAUUUUUCCAGUAUUACAAUUGCCGUUCAAAACUAAUACUACUAUUACAAUUUGCACUUUAGAUAAUUUUACCAUUACAAUUUUUUUACCAAUAUCAGGCACAACGAAAAAAGGUUUAGCAAAGUUGCCUAUGGAUAUGGAGAGUUGUUACUUUAGCAAUCAUUUGAAAAAAGCGGAAUAGGAGAGCAUUUGAAGGGGUAAACGAGACUUUGUAAAAAUACAAAGUUGAUAUAGGCUCGAUCUCUUCUUUAGUAUACAACAUUUUCCUCAGUUAUUAAUAAAAAUUAAAGAUAUUUAGCCAGGUAAAGCUUCUAUUAUUCCUGAUACAUGACACAUAGUCCAGAAAGCAUAUCCAAAAGUACUUUGAUCAUACAAACAAUUCCACAAUCAGCUUGUUGUUAUUUCCAUAAACUAUAAUAAGACACAUACUGCAGCAAUUUCACCAUUUAAUUUGCUGUCUGAAAUUUUUCAUGAAACAGUUGGAAUCUGGUUACUAGUUUGUCUCGUGGUGGCAAGUGUUGUUUGAUUGCCGGAGCAUCACAAAAGUUUUUCAUCCAUCCUGAUAAGAGCGGAAAUUUGUGUGCAUCAAACAACUUCAGAUCGAUUACCUCCUCAAACACAUCAAGCAGAUACGCCACCCAACCAAGUGCAAGAUCCACAUAUCCUAUACUUUCUCCACCAAAAAAUUUCUUCUCUUUCAAUUGCUCUUCAAUGAUUUCUAGGUUUUGCACGGCUGGAACAAGAGCUUCCUUUUUUGCCUCAUAUCCUUUUUCUGUGAAAACACUCCAUACUGAUGGCAGAAGCUGCAGAUCAUGAAAGACAAAUAUCAACGAAAAUGAUCAAUUCAAUAACUGAAAAUGCCUAUUGUCCGAUUGAUCACUUUGCUCAAAUGUUAAUAUACAGGUACAACUCAAUAAAAUUAGUGGCCUAAAGUCAAAUUAUAUAGAUACAAGAAAAUAGUUAACAUAAAUUUUAUUUUUGAGCUGAGAUCAAUGGUAUCGAUUUUACCUUGUCGUCCACAAAUUUUGCCCAAAAACGGGCCAUGGCUUUCUCAUAAGGAUCCUGAGGUAGCAAAGGAGUUGUUUCCUUCCAUGUCUCAUCGAUAUACUCGAGAAUCACCAGUGAUUCACAGAUUGGUUUGCCUUUGUGUACAAGUACAGGAAUCUUUUUGUGAACAGGAUUAUACUGGAGGAGUUGAGGGCUCUUCUGGCUU